RNAcentral lists this non-coding RNA (844 nucleotides) under Pan troglodytes (chimpanzee). Lineage: Eukaryota; Metazoa; Chordata; Mammalia; Primates; Hominidae. The record is from RNAcentral.
AAGUUUACAAAUUUGUGUUGGACCACAUUCAAAGCUGUCCUGGGUGGCAUGAGAACCAUGGGCUGAGGAUUGGACAAGCUUGCUCUACAAUAUUCAAAGAGCCAGAUUUCCUUCUGCACCAGAGCCUGUGGAAGCGCCACAGUGGAAGCAGCAGAGACUGGAAGAGCAGGCAAGAAGCUGGGAGCUUUGCACUGAACCAGGAAGACACCACAGCUCUUAGGCAAAGACCCGGAAAGGUGUCAACAUGGCCACACUACUGCUCCCACCUUGUCCUUACUUUCCUCAUCUCACCCCCACAGGCCACAGAUCAGCCCUGGGGUUCAGAGGGAUCCUGACGGCUACUCCUCAAGAUCCUCUCUGUUGUGAUUCAUCCCCCCCGGGCCCUACAGUUUCUCCUUCCUGACUCUUACAUUUCUUUGGAUGGCAUCAUUAUUUACCUGUCUCCUCCCAUAGUUAGGUGCCAAGCACUGUGGAUUCUGCCCCUCAGUGUCCAGACACCCAUUUUCCUUCCCACUGUUCCUUCCCCAUGGAGAAGCCUGUGGCUGGCUGACAGCAGAGAGAGAUGCUCAACUUGGAGAAGGUGUUACCUGGGCCAGGUGGGGAAGGUUUGUUUGCAGAGCAAAGAAGUGAAGGAAGUAUUAACCCUUUGCAUGGCCUCCUGAGAAUCCGACAAGACGUAAAUAGCCAAGAAUAUCUGUGGAACUUAAUCACUGAGUUACAGUAUUUAUCACUGCAAGUGUGUUGUUCAUUGACACUAUAAAGCCAUGUGGAAUUAAGCAGCCUUGAAACACAAAAUGGAGAAAGGCUGAGAGCUGAGAAUUGUUGCCUUCAGGAAAAUACAAUC